CCACUGCGCCACCAGGGAAGCCCCUACCAGCAUUUUUUUAAAUGAAGCUGUGUUUACCAUCAAGUGGAGAAACCGCCGACAAAAGCCGUCUCCUAACAGGCUUUGACUCCAACCUCUGAAAAUGCUUCAAUUCAAUGAAGCUAAUGGCACUUUGGUCUCCGGCAUUAGAUCCUGUUAUCAAUGACUUCCACAUGGAAAGAUCAUUCCAAAAUGUGUAAUUAACCAAGAAAAUGCAAAUAAACCAAUUUGUACCUGCUAUUUAGAGGGAACACGGUCACUGGCAGCUUUGGGCUAAACGUCAUUCCAAAGUAAUGAUUCAGAAGGAAAGGGUGUCCCUUACCUACCUUCAACCUUGGAAGGACUCCAACUGGCCCAGCUGGGGUUACUUGCUCACCCUUGGAUCAAUCAUUGGGGUCACAAGCAUGAUGAUGUAUACGGCCUAGGUCGGUGAUUGGCAAGGCUUUCAGAAACGCAUCAUUGCAAAUGGAGAGAAGCAGGUUCUCCUAGAAAGAGGAGUUCUGGGUAAACCAGAAGAAUUAAAUCCAUUGAAGUCUAGAAAAACAAAUUGGCUACCCCCAUGCUAAGAUGGAAACUAAAGUCAUUCCAAGCAGAGAGUUUGAGCAAAAUCAAGAAGAGGGAAAACUCAGUGCGUGUUGAGGGACUGGAUGGUAUUGGUGGUACACAGUGGGAAAGAAUGGAAGGUUGCUGAGGUCAAAUAGUGUGCAUAUUUGAAGCCCUGUAAAGAAGUUGGUGCUAUGUUCUCUAAGCAGAGUAUAGUUUUUUAAGGUUUUGAGAGUUACAUAGUACAUUCUACAUUUUAGAAAAAUAAUCUUAUCUCAUGGAGGAUAUGCUGGAUAGAAAUACUGGAGACAAGGAGAUUGGGUAGGGAAGGUAUGGUGGGCAUGUUGUUUUGUCUGAAAGUGUUCAUUUCCUCGUGAGAACUUCCUCUCCACUCUGGGCAGUCUUGGUGGGACUGUCAAUCAGUGUCCCACAGAACCACAAGGUUGGGUCAAUUUUAGUGCUGCAUUUCCUGGGACGCACAAUUGGUUCAUGGAUAAGCAUGUGAUUCAAGCAGAGCCAAUGGAUCCUUUCAGUAAACAUAGUCUAAAGAUGUAGGCUGAGAGUUCCCAACAGCCAUCCUGCCAUUACACAGAAAGAGUCUGUGUAAAACAUAUGAGAAAAAACAGAGGUGAAAGGGAAAAAAGAGCUCUACAACAUUGUGUCAGCCCUGGGUGACAGUGUCCUGAAAUUCCCAGUUACAUGUGUCAAUAUCAUUCUUCUUUUAUUUGUCUCUUAAUUGCAUUUAUUUCACACUACAACUGCAUACAAAAGGUACCUGUCAUUUAUUAAACAGCUAUUACAUACUAGGCAUGGUACUGGGUACUUUAUGUACAUUAUAAUAUUAAAUCUUUACAGUAACCCUGAAAGUAAAUAUUAUGAUUCCUCAUUUUAAAGAGGGAAAAAUCAUGACCCAAAUAAAUUAAGUAACUUCAAAAAAUUUAUUUAAAUAUUAAGAGUUGGAAAUGAUAUUCUAAAGGUUUGUUCAACUCCAAAGCCUAUAUUCUUUUUACUUUACCAUAUCUAUGCUACAUUGCUCUGUAGCUUUAGAGAGCAAUAUUCUCAAUAAGAAAUAAUAAAAGCAUGAACUAAGGCAAUAGCAGCAAGAAUAGGAGGAAAAAGCAGAUUCAAGAGACAUUCAAGAAAGGGAAAAAAUAGUUCCUACUGAUUUUUUUUUUCAAAGAAUUUUAUAUGUUGAGGAACAGUAAGAAAUCUAAGGAGAUUCUGAAAUCCAGUUAAUCUAAGUACAUAUACGAGUAAAGGCUGAUUGGAAGGGAACAAAUCAUGUUUCAUUUAAAGUGUGUGUGUAUGGGAACAUAUGUAUAUGUAUAACUGA
This is a long non-coding RNA of Delphinapterus leucas (beluga whale), 1894 nucleotides long. RefSeq lists it as uncharacterized. NCBI's taxonomy places the organism in Eukaryota, Metazoa, Chordata, Mammalia, Artiodactyla, Monodontidae. The record is from RefSeq and is a predicted model, not a curated record.